This 274-nucleotide ribosomal RNA is filed under the name uncultured bacterium. RNAcentral describes it as "partial 16S ribosomal RNA". It matches the Rfam family "Bacterial small subunit ribosomal RNA", at positions 79 to 353 of the family's 1533-position model. The record is from RNAcentral.
CUAAGUUUGAUGGCGGCCGGCGCACGGGUGAGUAACACGUAUCCAACCUGCCGAUGACUCGGGGAUAGCCUUUCGAAAGAAAGAUUAAUACCCGAUGGCAUAGUUCUUCCGCAUGGUAGAACUAUUAAAGAAUUUCGGUCAUCGAUGGGGAUGCGUUCCAUUAGGUUGUUGGCGGGGUAACGGCCCACCAAGCCUUCGAUGGAUAGGGUUCUGAGAGGAAGGUCCCCCACAUUGGAACUGAGACACGGUCCAAACUCCUACGGGAGGCAGCAUG